AACUUUUAGCAACGGAUCUCUUGGCUCUCGCAUCGAUGAAGAACGCAGCGAAAUGCGAUGCGUAAUGUGAAUUGCAGAAUUCAGUGAAUCAUCGAAUCUUUGAACGCACCUUGCGCCCCUUGGUAUUCCGAGGGGCACACCCGUUUGAGUGUCGUGAAUACUCUCAACCUUCUUGGUUUCUUUGACCACGAAGGCUUGGACUUUGGAGGUUUUUCUUGCUGGCCUCUUUAGAAGCCAGCUCCUCCUAAAUGAAUGGGUGGGGUCCGCUUUGCUGAUCCUCGACGUGAUAAGCAUUUCUUCUACGUCUCAGUGUCAGCUCGGAACCCGCUUUCCAACCGUCUUUGGACAAAGACAAUGUUCGAGUUGCGACUCGACCUUACAAACCUUGACCUCAAAUCGGGUGAGACUACCCGCUGAACUUAAGCAUAUCAAUAAGCGGAGGCU
RNAcentral lists this unclassified non-coding RNA (444 nucleotides) under uncultured Russula. Its description in RNAcentral is "sequence contains ITS2". The stretch from base 1 to 154 matches the Rfam family "5.8S ribosomal RNA". The record is from RNAcentral. Lineage: Eukaryota; Fungi; Basidiomycota; Agaricomycetes; Russulales; Russulaceae.